AUGCCUUCUCCUCUCUUUUCCCUAUUAGCUCCCCAUUUCUGCCUUUCUCAGCUACCUCACCUCCUAUCUGCCAGUUCUCUACCAUUCUACUCUGCCCGGCUCCUGCCUGCCCUACCCAAACCAUCUCCCCACCUCUAUGUAUUUUCUUCAUCCCUCAUUCCUCCCACCGAUCCCAAGACCCCUCUCUCCUCUCCAGCUUCUCCCUACCACCACAACCCCUCCUCCUGUCUGGCUCCUCUUCACCUCCUCCUCCCGCUAACUCCUCAUUCCCUGCCCAGCUCCAUCACUGCCUCCUCCUCUCGUUCCCCCCCCCCCAAGCUUUUCUAUCCCCAACCUCGCAGGCGGCAUCGGCGGCGGGCCUUCCCUACCCCCCGGAUCCCCACCCCCCCUCAGCCACUGCACCCACAGCUCGGGCAGGGGAGGGGGCUGUGGCCCCUGGAGGGAGGGGCGGGGCGGAGAGGCGGGCGCGGGGGCUCGCGGAUGGCGCAGGCCGGGCUGGGAUGGCGGAGAGGGGCUCGUCCUCACCAGAGGGUAGCAGCGGGAGAAGGCGGCGGCAGCGGCUGCUGCGGCGGCAAUGCCCUGGUCUCCCCCGGCGGCGGCGACGUGCCCGGUCCCUCGGCCGCGGCAGAGGCAGAGGCAGCAGCAGCACCAGCGGAGCCCGACGAGUUGGGGGAGGGGACACACGGGGGAGGGGAGGAGGCGGGGGCGGGGGCGGGGGAGGACCUGGCGCGCCGUCGCCAACACGUUCCUCCUCUCGGUUUCUGAUUGGGGCGGGGGCGGGAGUUGAGCGGGAUGGACUCCAGUGCCCAGCAUGCCCCACGGCCUCGUCGAAGCCUACAACUCCCAGUGUGCAUCGGGCUCCGAUCCUCCCUGCCUCAUCUUUCUCCCGUCUCUCUGCUCGAAAGGUGUGAUUAGUGCGCCACCUCCAGACCCGCCGCUGCCACCACUAUCCCAGACCCCGAAGGACUAAGCUUCCUGGCCGCGAGUGCCACCUUUCCUUUCCUUGCUCACGGUACCCAAACUAUACAUUCCCCAAAGGUGGGGGUUGGGAAGAAGAGUGUCCAGCCCCGAUGCAUGCUGGGGAUUGUAGUCCAGCAUCUCAGGCGCGGUUAUGACUCCAUGUUGGAAAAAAAUAAAAUAAAAUUCAGAGGAAAAAAAAGAAAGAAA
RNAcentral lists this long non-coding RNA (1167 nucleotides) under Monodelphis domestica (gray short-tailed opossum). RNAcentral's name for it is "lncRNA (ENSMODG00000036700.1)". Lineage: Eukaryota; Metazoa; Chordata; Mammalia; Didelphimorphia; Didelphidae. The record is from RNAcentral.